This 254-nucleotide ribosomal RNA is filed under the name uncultured bacterium. Its description in RNAcentral is "partial 16S ribosomal RNA". It matches the Rfam family "Bacterial small subunit ribosomal RNA", at positions 524 to 776 of the family's 1533-position model. The record is from RNAcentral.
UACGGAGGGUGCAAGCGUUAUCCGGAUUCACUGGGUUUAAAGGGUGCGUAGGUGGGUCUGUAAGUCAGUGGUGAAAUCUCCAAGCUUAACUUGGAAACUGCCGUUGAUACUAUAGAUCUUGAAUGCUGUGGAGGUGAGCGGAAUAUGUCAUGUAGCGGUGAAAUGACUUAGAUAUGACAUAGAACACCAAUUGCGAAGGCAGCUCACUACCCAGAUAUUGACACUGAGGCACGAAAGCGUGGGGAUCAAACAGG